Long non-coding RNA from Girardinichthys multiradiatus, 1138 nucleotides. RefSeq lists it as uncharacterized. NCBI's taxonomy places the organism in Eukaryota, Metazoa, Chordata, Actinopteri, Cyprinodontiformes, Goodeidae. The record is from RefSeq and is a predicted model, not a curated record. The transcript is spliced from 2 exons.
CCACUCUGUCAGGAUCUGUGUGCUGUGUCUGGUGUUGUUCACUGUGCUUGGCCUCUAGGUGGCUCUGAGACCGUGAGGAGUGGUGACAGGUGUUCCCUAUCUCCAUAAUCAUCCUUGGAGGGUAUUUAAGACGGAGGCUGCCAGCAAUUCAGCGCCAGAGUGUUGCCCUCAGUGGCUGCAUACCUGAACCUGACUUCAUUUUCAGCAUUGUUUGCUGUCCUGGAUUUGUGAUUCUGGAGAUUGAUCUCCAAACCUUGUGGAUUAAAGCCUGGGCACCCAGCCCACUUCGUCUUCUCACAACUGGCUGGCAGCUUCCUGUCUGGAUGAACCACGGACCACUUCAAGCGAACCCUGUCCACCCUCCAUCACAAUAAGACCAACACCAGUACCUCAGAGCCCCACAACGUGUGUCAAUUACCUACCAGCUCCGGUCUCCUCUGUGCGCACCUUCGUUGUUGUUUUCCCUCCUCCUGGCAGAUCACCCUUCAUCCCUAGUAAGACAGACUUGUUAUUUAGUAAUAUUCACUCUUAAGAUUUAUGUUACUUACCUUGCAGUUUGUUUCCCGGUUCCAGCUCCUUCCGUAUCUCCAUGCUUCCUGUAAAUGUAUUUGUUGAACUUGAUCUCUCUCCUGAAUGCUUACUUCAUGUGGGUCAAAACUGUCUGAAAAACUGACACACUCAAGGUCUACUGUAUAUGACAAGGAUGCUUUUAGUGGAAAACUGCCAUCCUAUAACAACUAAGCAAGUGGACAAUUGUUUUGUGCGAUUGGUGAUGUGCUGCUAAAUGCAGCCAGCCUUUCUUGUGUUCAACUUUUCUUGUAUAAACGUCUCUCAUGUGACCAAGACUCAAUUCAUUCUAAUACCUCUACUCUUCAAAAGGAACACAAAGCCUCCUUCUGAUGCUUGCAUAUUGUGUAUAUAAUGAUUAUCUAAUAAGUUAGGGUUGCAACAGCAAAAACUGAAAAAAAAUGUUUGCUUCUGGAGUCUGCUUAGAAGGGCUUCUAGUUGAAUACACAUGAAUGAAUCACUCAGUGGUGGGGAUUACAAUAUACUUUACCUCCGUCUGCAUUACUGUGAUUAAUUCUUGCCAAAAAUAAAAUGCUGUGGAUAUGGUCAUCUCUGCACAACCACUCUAAAA